Molecule: long non-coding RNA, 1282 nt
Organism: Daphnia pulicaria
Lineage: Eukaryota; Metazoa; Arthropoda; Branchiopoda; Diplostraca; Daphniidae
Exons: 4
Source: RefSeq, a predicted model, not a curated record
CUAAAAUAAUCCCGAGAUCCGUUCAGCGGAUGUCGAACGCAAGUGAGAAAACCGCUUUUAAUCGUGUUUGAUCGGUUUUUAUUGAGGGGUCGAUUUUUAAUCUAUCGAUAUCUUAACCAAAAUUAAUUAAAAGAGUCAUAGAGAAGAUGUGUCGUCUGCUCUCGCUUUGUUAACACGUUUCGAAAAAGUGGCGAGGUGAUUAGUGAUUAGUCAUUAGUGAAUGAUAUUGAUAACUAUAGUGGACAAACUUAUCAUUUUUUUUUAAACGUGGCUGCACGAAAAGAAGCACAAAAAAUAGAAUGACAAAAAAUUUGGUCGUCGUGUGAACAAGGUAACUCUUUAUGGAAUCGCUUAACUCACACUCCAUGCAAUGUUAAGCAGAUGCAGAUUUGGAGGCAGCCAUCGCAACCACUAGAUAUGCAAGUUUUUCUGGUGCUGAUACUGACCUGUCACAGCAAAAAUCCAAGUAUAAUUGCUUGGAUAAACAGCAUCCCAUCUGAUUGAUGGGAGAAACUACCGAUGCCAGCCGAGUUACGGAUUACCGUGGAUCUCUUCUUCCCCUUUCUUGAAAUCCUCUCUGUCCUCGUGUACGCCCAUGUGAAUGUGGGGGUAUUCACGAGUCUGAGACUCUUUUUCCUAUCCUGCCUGGUGUCUUCCAACUAUUCUGCGGAUGGAGCACUUGCGGAAUGCCUGGCUGUAUUUCCCAGGCAUAAAGGAAUAAUGACCAACUUGUUAGCACAAUAGAAUCGCUGUCGGACCACCACAGAUGCGCUACAGCGAUCCUCCCGUCAUGCACGGCACAAGAGAGUAUUAGAAGACCAACGCCACGCCAAUUUGUGGAUUUCGUCGAACUCAUAAAAAGUUUGUAUUCCAAUUCGAUAGUCACAUCUAUCUGGAAAUAUAGAUUUUAGUGAAAGGAAAAUCAUUUGAAAUUCGGGAUGAGUCGCUUCUUUCCAGACUGUACAAAUUCCUUGUUUGUGUACACACACAAAUUCGUUUGCCAUUGUCUAGUCGAUUUUUUCCGCUUUGUAGUAAAGCCUGUUCGGUGCAUAAAUUACUAUACAAUGAAUUGCGUCCUGAUAAUUAGGGAUACCUUAAUGAUACGCACGUAUCUUUGUAAUUUUUGCAAUCUCAUUCAUUCUUGCACUGUGUCUGCGUGAAUUGUUUUAUUUUUACGGUAUUUUGACCCACCCGAACCGACAUCACCAUCUAUUGGCUAUGAUGAGAACCCGUUUCACAGAUUCUGCUGUUUAUGAUUUUUGAGCACUAGGUGGCGGAGUCG